GGUAAGAGUGUCUGCUUGUCAAAAUACGCUUCAAAGCAGUUUCAAAAUGAGGGACACUUCUUCUCUAAUGGUGUGUUCGCAAACUCCGCAUACACUAGUCGCAAAAUUUUCCCUCGUUCCAGCAAAAAAUAUGUUCGUGUGUGUAUCCAAGAACAAAGCCUGCCGAACAAAACUGCGAUUACUAUCAUGUGUAUCGGAAAGGUCACACACGGAUACCAUUUUACCCCUGCAGGUGACCUUCAGCUUGCCGUGUUUUACGGCAAGUCCCUCUCGGGACCCUCUUUUAAUGUGGUGCGACAGUGGUAAUGAAGCCAACAAUGUGGUAUUUUUGGGCUCUGUUUUACUCGAUUUUCCUUCAUUGACGUGCUGUCUCUUUAAUGUAGCUGAGCAUUCAACACAUAGCGUUUGUGAAGUCUCGCUUGAUGCAUGUUUGCUACGGCUGCGUAACGAAGCGAUAUGUUCCCUCCAAAGUUUCCAUAGUGAUGCUGGAAGUGGGGGGCUCGUAUUUCCGACAAGGGUGCAUACAGCCAUGCCCCCGGUCUACAAUCCAGCGGCAGUCAGUAGUGGCCACACUCUUGGAAGACUCAUUCUCAAGUGUUGACAGGGUCUGGUGCUUUGAGAAUAUUCAGCACCAGAUGGUACUCGAUUUGCUGUCUCCUGUCGCCCCGUGCGUGAUGUUCAGGAUUUGCCUGUAGUUACCUGCUGCCACCUCCGGUCAUACACUGUCUCGGGUGUACACACGCAUGUGUUUAUGUAUACAUAAAUAAACGUUUUCGUAAAUUUUCCCGUUUGCGGUAGCGUAUGUUUUUGCGUGUGUAUCGCCUGUUCUCUGCUCUUGCCCACUGGGGUCGCUAGGUGCACGCCUACAUCUCCUCUGUCUAAGACUACCUGACUCAGUUACGCGUCAGGAUUGAACACCCUUUUAGUUAUUCGUGGAUGUGGUGCCUGCUUUCCCCAAGGGAUUUACGGUGAGUUUUUCAAUCAAUUUAUUCCACCGCAACCUUUGGUGAUGUCUUCAGCACUCCCUUACAGUCGUACAACACAAUCUCAGAAGAUUCGCUAGGACGCUAAAGAUUACUUCAUGGUUGAGAUGCACAUAUUCAACAGAACGUUGCCAACGGGAUCCUGCAAGCUUCGAGGUAACCUAAGGAAACGUUGACGUACUUGCGAGAGACACUCGCCGCAACGGAAAAGUAAAAAUCAAAAAGCAUGCCUCCGUAGGGCUGUAUCCGCUAACCCUUAUGGAUGCGAAUAACAAACGCCACAGGAUCACACAGGUGCCCCGUGCAACCAUACAGUCGAG
RNAcentral lists this long non-coding RNA (1303 nucleotides) under Toxoplasma gondii VEG. The record is from RNAcentral. Lineage: Eukaryota; Apicomplexa; Conoidasida; Eucoccidiorida; Sarcocystidae.